Molecule: ribosomal RNA, 497 nt
Filed under: uncultured bacterium
Lineage: Bacteria
Description: partial 16S ribosomal RNA
Rfam family: Bacterial small subunit ribosomal RNA
Source: RNAcentral
GAUGAACGCUGGCGGCGUGCCUAAUACAUGCAAGUCGAGCGAACGGACGAGAAGCUUGCUUCACUGAUGUUAACGGCGGACGGGUGAGUAACAUGUGGAUAACCUACCUAUAAGACUGGGAUAACUUCGGGAAACCGGAGCUAAUACCGGAUAAUAUUUUGAACCGCAUGGUUCAAAAGUGAAAGACGGUCUUGCUGUCACUUAUAGAUGGAUCCGCGCUGCAUUAGCUAGUUGGUAAGGUAACGGCUUACCAAGGCAACGAUGCAUAGCCGACCUGAGAGGGUGUUGGGCCACACAGGAACUGAGACACGGUCCAGACUCCGACGGGAGGCAGCGGUAGGGAAGCGUCGGAAAUGUGCGAAAGCCUGAAGGAUCAGCGCCGCGUGAGUGAUGAAGGUCUUCGGAUCGUAAAACUCUGUUAUUAGGGAAGAACAUAUGUGUAAGUAACUGUGCACAUCUUGACGGUACCUAAUCUGAAAGCCACGGCUAACUACGUG